This 484-nucleotide ribosomal RNA is filed under the name uncultured bacterium. RNAcentral's name for it is "partial 16S ribosomal RNA". It matches the Rfam family "Bacterial small subunit ribosomal RNA", at positions 30 to 507 of the family's 1533-position model. The record is from RNAcentral.
AUUGAACGCUGGCGGCAGGCCUAACACAUGCAAGUCGAGCGGAUGAAGGGAGCUUGCUCCUGGAUUCAGCGGCGGACGGGUGAGUAAUGCCUAGGAAUCUGCCUGGUAGUGGGGGAUAACGUCAGGAAACGGGCGCUAAUACCGCAUACGUCAUGAGGGAGAAAGUGGGGGAUCUUCGGACCUCACGCUAUCAGAUGAGCCUAGGUCGGAUUAGCUAGUUGGUGGGGUAAAGGCCUACCAAGGCGACGAUCCGUAACUGGUCUGAGAGGAUGAUCAGUCACACUGGAACUGAGACACGGUCCAGACUCCUACGGGAGGCAGCAGUGGGGAAUAUUGGACAAUGGGCGAAAGCCUGAUCCAGCCAUGCCGCGUGUGUGAAGAAGGUCUUCGGAUUGUAAAGCUCUUUAAGUUGGGAGGAAGAGCAGUAAGUGAAUACCUUGCUGUUUUGACGUUACCAACAGAAUAAGCACCGGCUAACUUCGUG